CCUACGGGAGGCAGCAGUGGGGAAUAUUGCGCAAUGGGCGAAAGCCUGACGCAGCGACGCAGCGUGAGGGAUGAAGGCCUUCGGGUUGUAAACCUCUUUCAGCGGGGACGAAGCGAAAGUGACGGUACCCGCAGAAGAAGCACCGGCUAACUACGUGCCAGCAGCCGCGGUAAUACGUAGGGUGCAAGCAUUGUCCGGAUUUAUUGGGCGUAAAGAGCUCGUAGGCGGCUUGUCACGUCGGGUGUGAAAACUUGGGGCUCAACCCCAAGCCUGCACUCGAUACGGGCUAGCUAGAGUGUUGCAGGGGAGACUGGAAUUCCUGGUGUAGCGGUGAAAUGCGCAGAUAUCAGGAGGAACACCGGUGGCGAAGGCGGGUCUCUGGGCAACUACUGACGCUGAGGAGCGAAAGCGUGGGGAGCGAACAGGAUUAGAUACCCCGGGUAGUCCACGCCGUAAACGGUGGGCGCUAGGUGUGGGGAACCUUCCACGUUCUCUGUGCCGCAGCUACGCAUAGCGCCCGCCGUCGGGAGGUACGGCCGCGACGGACGUAAACCUACGAAACGGAAGUUAGACGGCGUGAGACGUCGCCGACGGACGACCGACGAGGGAGGUAGG
Molecule: ribosomal RNA, 615 nt
Filed under: uncultured bacterium
Lineage: Bacteria
Description: bacterial SSU rRNA
Rfam family: Bacterial small subunit ribosomal RNA (bases 1-522)
Source: RNAcentral